This 446-nucleotide ribosomal RNA is filed under the name uncultured bacterium. RNAcentral describes it as "bacterial SSU rRNA". It matches the Rfam family "Bacterial small subunit ribosomal RNA", at positions 330 to 793 of the family's 1533-position model. The record is from RNAcentral.
ACCAGACUCCUACGGGAGGCAGCAGUGGGGGAUAUUGCACAAUGGGGGGAACCCUGAUGCAGCGACGCCGCGUGGGUGAAGAAGCGCCUCGGCGCGUAAAGCCCUGUCAGCAGGGAAGAAAAUGACGGUACCUGAAGAAGAAGCCCCGGCUAACUACGUGCCAGCAGCCGCGGUAAUACGUAGGGGGCAAGCGUUAUCCGGAUUUACUGGGUGUAAAGGGGGCGCAGACGGCGAUGCAGGCCAGGAGUGAAAGCCCGGGGCCCAACCCCGGGACUGCUCUUGGAACUGCGUGGCUGGAGUGCAGGAGGGGCAGGCGGAAUUCCUGGUGUAGCGGUGAAAUGCGUAGAUAUCAGGAGGAACACCGGUGGCGAAGGCGGCCUGCUGGACUGCAACUGACGUUGAGGCCCGAAAGCGUGGGGAGCAAACAGGAUUAGAUACCCGGGUAA